This is a long non-coding RNA of Salvia splendens (bonfire salvia), 954 nucleotides long. RefSeq lists it as uncharacterized. Lineage: Eukaryota; Viridiplantae; Streptophyta; Magnoliopsida; Lamiales; Lamiaceae. The record is from RefSeq and is a predicted model, not a curated record. The transcript is spliced from 2 exons.
GAAAGGUGAUUUUCAAAUGGGUGAUAUCAUAACUAUAAAGUUCUUGAUCAAUAAAUUUUGGCUUUUACUACUUCACAAGCCUCUUUAAAAUUUGGUUUUAGAAAUCACUAAUUAACCACUAGGCCAGCCAUCUUCGAGAAGACACAAGUUACCUUAAUUUGAAAUAAUAAUUCUAAUUACAAAACCUUCUUGCUUACCACCAAAACUCAAUAACUUAUGUACUCCACAAUUCCCAUUUUGUGAUAUCAUUUAAAUUUGGUUUUUGUCUACUUUAAUUAUUCAAUAUAUCGAUCCUUUUUCGGCCCAUCACUAAAACAUCAUUUUCUAUUUUUUGAGUUUCCAAAAUUUUGCUUCACUAUAUAACACUGUCCAUCUACCAUAUUCAUAAAUGAGAGAGAGAGAGAGAGAGAGAAAUAAGAAAAAUGAAGUCCUUGGCUUGGAUUUUAAUCCUCUUAGUAUUAUGCACAUCUAAUUUCAUAACAGCUUUUGCUCAUCAAGAUCUUGAUAUGCUAAGGAGCAAAGAUUUACUGAUUUCGUCGUUCCCGAAUAUGGAAAUAACACAUGAUUCUGGCCAUGCAAGAAAGCUCACGACAGUGGAGGAGAUCACCUUUACCGGUAAGGGGCAGAAAGGGAAAGGCGCAUACGGAGGUGCCAACGUUGUUCACAAGCGGCCAGGCGAGAAGAACGCUGCGCCAACCUAUAGGCUUUGCUUAUUUUUAUUCGCCGCCGUUGUUGGUUUCAGCUUCUUCUCAUGAACAACAAGUAUUGUGUGUUUUAUAGUCUUUGAGUUUAUUUUUUCUUUGUAUUUGUUGCUAUAUUUGGUUGCUGAUUGCCUGCUUGUUUGGUACUACUAAAUAGCGUGUGGCAUUGAUGAAACAGAAGAUUGUGUUUUAUUAUAUUUUCUUGUAGAAUUUAUUUUGAUUAAUACAAACAUUGGAAACAAAGAUCGUGCUA